GCUUUUGUGGUGUAGUGGUCAGCACGCUCGGCACGUAUUCGAGAGGUCCGAGGUUCGAGUCCCGGCUAGGGCA
RNAcentral lists this transfer RNA (73 nucleotides) under Stegodyphus mimosarum. It matches the Rfam family "tRNA". From Rfam's summary of the family: Transfer RNA (tRNA) molecules are approximately 80 nucleotides in length. Their secondary structure includes four short double-helical elements and three loops (D, anti-codon, and T loops). Further hydrogen bonds mediate the characteristic L-shaped molecular structure. tRNAs have two regions of fundamental functional importance: the anti-codon, which is responsible for specific mRNA codon recognition, and the 3' end, to which the tRNAs corresponding amino acid is attached (by aminoacyl-tRNA synthetases). tRNAs cope with the degeneracy of the genetic code in two manners: having more than one tRNA (with a specific anti-codon) for a particular amino acid; and 'wobble' base-pairing, i.e. permitting non-standard base-pairing at the 3rd anti-codon position. The record is from Rfam by way of RNAcentral. Lineage: Eukaryota; Metazoa; Arthropoda; Arachnida; Araneae; Eresidae.